CCCGCUGUGUGACUCAUUUCAAAGGGGAACAGCAAAGCUGUGAGGCCGGCCAUGAACCAUUGAACUUUCAUGUGUUGUAACUGCCCACUCAUUUUCUCACGAGAAAAAGCAUUUUACGAAUAGUUACUGAUGUUGGCUGUAAUUUUGACCUGCAGUUCUGCGUUGAACAAGCCCACAGAUACCUCAAGUCAGCGCUGCGCAUUAGCGGACUGUAGAGCGACUACCAAGCGCCACCGAAAUGCUGACUUCUCCUGGCAUUUAUUUGAUCUUUUUUUCCUUCUUGCUCUUUUUAUUGUUAUUCACAAUAAAGGCUACCUUACUGAAA
This is a long non-coding RNA of Electrophorus electricus (electric eel), 325 nucleotides long. RefSeq lists it as uncharacterized. The record is from RefSeq and is a predicted model, not a curated record. Lineage: Eukaryota; Metazoa; Chordata; Actinopteri; Gymnotiformes; Gymnotidae.